Long non-coding RNA from Spinacia oleracea (spinach), 1158 nucleotides. RefSeq lists it as uncharacterized. NCBI's taxonomy places the organism in Eukaryota, Viridiplantae, Streptophyta, Magnoliopsida, Caryophyllales, Amaranthaceae. The record is from RefSeq and is a predicted model, not a curated record. The transcript has 3 exons.
CAUACAUAAUCCGAUCCUACGUGGAUGGUAAUUUGUUAAUUAAGUUUCAUUCCUAUACAAAAUGGAAAAUAAGUUUUAAAACAAACACACUUCCGUUAAUCGUUCUAUAAUAUCUCUAUUACAUAAAGGAACAGCUGAGGGCAUAAGAGUAAAUUAACUUUUCGUGUCCCCCAGUGAAUUGACGAAAUUACCCCUAAUUAAACCCAGCCCCCAGCCUCACUCUCACAUGCGCAUAGCUCUCUUUCUCUCUCCUAGGUCUUCGGCGUCCCUGACCCUUCCUGCUCCCUCCCGUUUUCUCUCUCCUUCCUCUUCAUCUUCUUUGAUCUUCUUCCUCUAAUCCUCUUCCACCAAACCCCAUCCCAUUCUAAACCCUAAAUAUUUCGUCUCUCUUUCACUGCACACACACGCUCUUUCUCCUCCGCCUCUCGCCGUCGCCAUCACCGCCUGAUCUUCUAGAGAUUAGGGUGAGAUUUUAACAACUUUGUAUAGAUUUUCAUUUUUUUCCAAUUGAUUCUGGAGAUUUUGUUUAUUUGAUGUGUUUUUUUUUUCCGAUUUUUAUUGUUUUUUCCAAUUGUUUAGAGAGAUAUUUUUAUUCUGGAGCCCUAGCCAUUCCGAUUUUAAAAAAUAUUGUGGGAUUGAAUAGAGAGAUUUAGAGAUUUUUGUUUUUCUAAAAAGUACAUUUUUCGGGUUUAAUUUGAUCGGGAAAGUUUAGAAAUUUAUUGUAAUGUCGACGAAAAUGGGUACGGCGAAGGAUUUAGCGGAGAAAAUGAGGUUGAUGGGUGCACCGGGUGGACAUUAUUGAGCCAAAAAAUCGAAUGUUUGUCAAAGAUUGUUGUUGCCAGCAUUUUAUCGGCUCAUCCUCAUACUUUGGGCACUACAUGUCAAUAAUGAGAAGGCAAAGAUGUUGCUGUUGGCAGCAAGAAGAAUUGUAACAAUGACGGGUUUCUGGGUGCUUCUUGCUCAACUGUUCCAAACUUCAGUAACCGAGAAACUAUGGUGGAGACGCUUCAAGGAGAAGAAUCAACAAUCCGGGAAAAAAACAUCUAUGUGAGAAGAAAUUAAAAAAAUAUGAUGCAAAUUUUGAAAUUAUGUACUGAAUUUGAGUAAAUUGUGUGUCCAUUUCCUAUUUUAAGGAACAUUACCAUGAAUUAUGUAAUU